UUCCGGUUGAUCCCGCCGGACCCCACUGCUAUCGAGGUGGGACUUGGCCAUGCUAGUCGAACGAACAGAACUAUGUCUGUAAGUGGCAUACUGCUCAGUAACACGUAGCUAACCUACCCUUAGGACGUCGAUAACCCCGAGAAAUUGGGGCUAAUAGGCGAUAGAUGUAUUGUCCUGGAAUGGUAAUAUGUCCAAAGGUAUCCCAUACAUGUUUGGUAUACGCCUAAGGAUGGGGCUGCGGCCGAUCAGGCUGUUGGUGAGGUAAUGGCUCACCAAACCUUUGACCGGUAUGGGCCAUGAGAGUGGUAGCCCAGAGAUGGACACUGAGACAAGGGUCCAGGCCCUACGGGGCGCAGCAGGCGCGAAACCUCCUCAAUGCACUAACGUGCGAAGGGGUUACCUCGAGUGCCACCUGAAGAAGGUGGCUUUUCCUUGGUCUAAAAAGCCUAGGGAAUAAGAGGAGGGCAAGACUGGUGUCAGCCGCCGCGGUAACACCAGCCCCUCGAGUGGUGGGGAUGAUUAUUUGGCCUAAAGCGUCCGUAGCCGGCCGGGUAAGUUUCCCGUUAAAUCCAGCGUCUCAAGCGUUGGACUGCGGGAAAUACUGCCUGGCUAGAGAGUGGGAGAGGUCAGCGGUAUUCUGGGGGUAGGGGCGAAAUCCUUUGAUCCCCGGAGGACCACCAGUGGCGAAGGCUGCUGACUAGAACACGUCUGACGGUCAGGGACGAAAGCUGGGGUAGCGAACCGGAUUAGAUACCCGGGUAGUCCCAGCCGUAAACGAUGCAUGCUAGGUGUUGGGUU
This 798-nucleotide ribosomal RNA is filed under the name uncultured archaeon. Its description in RNAcentral is "bacterial SSU rRNA". It matches the Rfam family "Archaeal small subunit ribosomal RNA", at positions 1 to 780 of the family's 1478-position model. The record is from RNAcentral.